RNAcentral lists this ribosomal RNA (549 nucleotides) under Triticum aestivum (bread wheat). RNAcentral describes it as "partial small subunit ribosomal RNA". The record is from RNAcentral. Lineage: Eukaryota; Viridiplantae; Streptophyta; Magnoliopsida; Poales; Poaceae.
AUGAAUCACUUUUGUCCAUGCCUAGAUCAUCUUCAUUUAUAUAUAUGUGGAAGCUUACCAACGGUUUUGAACCUUCCUCCGUCCUUAAAAUACAUUCGUAUUGCUAGAUGUAGUAGUAUUCGAGUCCUAUCAUGCCAGCUGGGUGGGCUUCAGAAACCAGAAGUCACUACCUCUAUAAGCAGAAGCCCUACCAUGCCAGAGCCACCACCAGCUGCUGCAGCUACACGAGAGCAUUUACUUCCUCCCCAUAUCAAUACUCUAGGAAUAAAGGACUGUGAUGGCAUGUUGGGGACUCUCCUUCUGCCUGCACCACUCAAAAGACUGGCAAUUAUUGGCAACCGUGGGUUGACAUUGUUGGAGUGUCUGUUGGUAGAGCACCCCCCAUCGCUGGAAUUCGUUCAUCUUAAAAGAUGCAGUACCUUGGCAUCCCUACCGAAUGAACCACAAAUAUACAGAUCUCUCCAAGGGCUUGAAAUUAAAGGUUGUCCUGCUAUAAAGAAGCUCCCUAGAUGCCUGCAGCAGCAACUGGGCAGCCUCAGGCUCAAAUAG